Molecule: non-coding RNA, 94 nt
Organism: Mycena epipterygia
Lineage: Eukaryota; Fungi; Basidiomycota; Agaricomycetes; Agaricales; Mycenaceae
Source: the annotation of a GenBank genome assembly
GACUCGGUGGCGGAUAGCCCGUGUCUGCCAAGUUUAAUACAGACACUCAUGGCCAGUUCAGCAGAAGUCGCCCGUUCGAUUCGGGCCCGAGUCA